AUGCCUUUACUGACUCCAAAUCUACUUCAUUAAGAAUGGUGGGGCUGUCACGCAAUGGCUGCAAACAGCCCCCCUCCUGGUAGCUAUAGAAGCCUGUCCAGUGUAUAUGUUGCCCUAAGGGACCCUGGAGACAGGU
RNAcentral lists this small nucleolar RNA (136 nucleotides) under Neotoma lepida (desert woodrat). RNAcentral's name for it is "Small nucleolar RNA SNORA70". It matches the Rfam family "Small nucleolar RNA SNORA70". From Rfam's summary of the family: snoRNA U70 seems to be exclusive to mammals and is a member of the H/ACA class of snoRNA which contain H (ANANNA) and ACA box motifs. H/ACA box snoRNAs are involved in the conversion of uridines to pseudouridines (5-ribosyluracil) a constituent of structural RNAs (transfer, ribosomal, small nuclear, and small nucleolar). The record is from Rfam by way of RNAcentral. Lineage: Eukaryota; Metazoa; Chordata; Mammalia; Rodentia; Cricetidae.